Molecule: transfer RNA, 70 nt
Organism: Cavia porcellus (domestic guinea pig)
Lineage: Eukaryota; Metazoa; Chordata; Mammalia; Rodentia; Caviidae
Rfam family: tRNA
About the family: Transfer RNA (tRNA) molecules are approximately 80 nucleotides in length. Their secondary structure includes four short double-helical elements and three loops (D, anti-codon, and T loops).
Source: Rfam
GGGUAUAGCUCAGUGGCACAGUGCCUGCCUGACAAGCGUGAGGUCCUCGGUUCAAUUCCCAGUACUAACA